Molecule: ribosomal RNA, 760 nt
Filed under: uncultured Stenotrophomonas sp.
Lineage: Bacteria; Pseudomonadati; Pseudomonadota; Gammaproteobacteria; Lysobacterales; Lysobacteraceae
Description: bacterial SSU rRNA
Rfam family: Bacterial small subunit ribosomal RNA
Source: RNAcentral
AGUGAACGCUGGCGGUAGGCCUAACACAUGCAAGUCGAACGGCAGCACAGAGGAGCUUGCUCCUUGGGUGGCGAGUGGCGGACGGGUGAGGAAUACAUCGGAAUCUACUCUGUCGUGGGGGAUAACGCAGGGAAACUUACGCUAAUACCGCAUACGACCUACGGGUGAAAGCAGGGGAUCUUCGGACCUUGCGCGAUUGAAUGAGCCGAUGUCGGAUUAGCUAGUUGGCGGGGUAAAGGCUCACCAAGGCGACGAUCCGUAGCUGGUCUGAGAGGAUGAUCAGCCACACUGGAACUGAGACACGGUCCAGACUCCUACGGGAGGCAGCAGUGGGGAAUAUUGGACAAUGGGCGCAAGCCUGAUCCAGCCAUACCGCGUGGGUGAAGAAGGCCUACGGGUUGUAAAGCCCUUUUGUUGGGAAAGAAAUCCAGCCGGCUAAUACCUGGUUGGGAUGACGGUACCCAAAGAAUAAGCACCGGCUAACUUCGUGCCAGCAGCCGCGGUAAUACGAAGGGUGCAAGCGUUACUCGGAAUUACUGGGCGUAAAGCGUGCGUAGGUGGUUAUUUAAGUCCGUUGUGAAAGCCCUGGGCUCAACCUGGGAACUGCAGUGGAUACUGGAUGACUAGAAUGUGGUAGAGGGUAGCGGAAUUCCUGGUGUAGCAGUGAAAUGCGUAGAGAUCAGGAGGAACAUCCAUGGCGAAGGCAGCUACCUGGACCAACAUUGACACUGAGGCACGAAAGCGUGGGGGAGCAAACAGG